Molecule: non-coding RNA, 2219 nt
Organism: Odocoileus virginianus texanus
Lineage: Eukaryota; Metazoa; Chordata; Mammalia; Artiodactyla; Cervidae
Source: RefSeq, a predicted model, not a curated record
CCAGUAAUUUACAAGUAAUGGUUUACAGCUGUGAACCCUGGCUUCUGAGCUGUUUUGGUCAUUUAGUAAUUACAACAGUUUCAUUAACAUUUAAAGGGAAUAGUCUGUUCAAUAUCAAUUAGGGACGAUCUGCAACUGUGUAGCUCCGUUUCCAUAUUUGCAUUUGACAUUUAAUAUUCUGCACACAUAAAUUCUUGGGCUUGAAAAUGCAUUGCCACAGAAGGUCAAAAUUAAUCCUGAGCCCAUUUCUACCUAGCUCUACUAAGCUUUAGGAAAUAUUUCUGCAGAGAGUGAGAACAUAAAGGUUAUUUUGGGGGCGGUUUUACACAUCUGAACAUUUAAGUACUUUUCCCCACCACUAAAGUUAAGGUUACAGAGUUCUCCUCAAUUCUUGUUAUAUCUUCUGUAUUCUGAGGACAUUUCUAACUUAUCUGAGGUAGAUUUGCAUAGUAUUAAGCAGAAAGAUGACAUCUAUAACUUGUAAAUCUAACUACAGUGAUAUUUAACUUUAAUAUUUGAGGGUGUGGAGGUGUGGUUCUGGGGAUUUCAACACUUAGUAAAUAGAACGACUAUGACCUCCACCCCUCAAAAAAAGCCUUCCUAAAAUCAUUUACAUCAGGGAAUAAGUCUUAAUCUCUAAUUAAACUGUUGAGGAAAGGUUGACUAUGCUAGGACUUACCUCCAAAGAAACAAAAGCCCCAUGAAAAUUUGAAUUUUAUGUGGCUGGAGAAUGGCCCAAGGAUUUGAUCCCUGAUGUUAAGUGAUUUUGUUGGGGGACAGAGUGAGAAAGACAGAACAAAUUUCAGGUGAGUUAAAAGGUCUUUAAAGGAGAAAAACUGGGAUCUUCCAUCAGGAAGAGAGAAGCCUUUUGAAAUGUUUAGGGACAGAGCACAGAGGGUGUCCCAAGGAUGGUUUGAGUGACAGAGGUUAAAAACGGUGUAAGCUGAAGUCUGGGGUUUCUUUUGACUCUUGAUUCCCAGGCUGUGACAUGAGAUGAAACAUUGAGCGUGUACUAUUAUUCUAAGGGUCAGAGGUAGUGAAGUACCCACUGAAUGAGGACAGGCUUAUGGAGACGGUAAGGACAGAGACUCCAGUGUGCUGAUACAAUUCAAUUCUAUACAGAAGGAAGCCAAGGACUUAAAGAAAUGAAACAAAUUUCCCCAAAACACACAGCUAAGGAUCUUAGUAACCGACUCCAGGACAUACAUUCUUAAUCACCUUAAGAAUGCAAACAGACUUGCUAUUUUGGGAAAUGAUGGUGUCUGUCAACCUGUGGUCAUGGUCAGAUGGCUGGAUGCCUGAGGAUGCACACUGGCAAGAAAAUAGCAUAAUAAGGAAAAUGUGAACAUGAAGACAUCCCUGGAGGUAAUUAUAUUUAUAAAAGUUGAGGACUGAGCAAGUCUAAAUAUCACAGAUAACAUAAGAAAGAACUCGCCUUGGGACUUUCUCUGAAUUGCCCAGUGAAUUUGAAGAGGACUUCAGGAGCACUGCCCUCUGACCCCAGAGUUAGAGAGCUCGCCACUCUCAGCUUUUCAGCUGCCUGCGUAGGUCAUUCUGAGCUACCUGAUCUGCAGGGUUCUUGUGAUGCUUAGAAAUAUCCUUUGUAAAAUGUUAUAUCCAAGUCGGUAUUCAACAAAUGGUUCAUUCAUGCUGCUAAAUUUCUGUGAUACAGGUUUGCUUUUGCAUUUAGGGGGCACUCUAAUUAAAAAUAAACUCUCCUCUUGUGUGCACUCCCUUGCCCUCUCCAGAAGUGACUGUCAUUCUUAAUCCAUCUGGGAGAAACUGGGGGAAAAGAGAGGUCUCGGGGUGCACACUAGGUCAGGCUUGGAUGUCGUUCAGUUCUGCCAGCUCCUUUUGCAAGGAUAACUCUUGCCUACUAUGUCUUCCCCAUGUGAAUAUAGGGAACAAUCCAGCCAGGUGGUAGAAAUUAAAUACUUUAGCCAAGAAUAACACCCAGAUUCUGAGAUUUGAACACCAAUUAUCAGGAGGUUCAAAGCACUGAUUUAUCCCAGUCCCUGCUCCCCUUCAAGCUAUGUAAGUAGCUCUAAUGAUGAGCAAUCGAGGACCAGCGCCUUCCCUCCUGUUCAUUACUCUCCAACAAGAUCUUAAGUUGAUAAGGCCACCCUGAAAAGGCAAGAUCAGCUGUAGACAGGGGAGCAGGUACAUUUAUCAACUGCUUUUGUUUGCUGAGUCAGGGAUUGCCGUUGGUUUUAACUUUU